GAGCAACGCCGCGUGAGGGAUGAAGGCCUCUGGGCUGUAAACCUCUUUUAUCAAGGAAGAAGAUCUGACGGUACUUGAUGAAUAAGCCACGGCUAAUUCCGUGCCAGCAGCCGCGGUAAUACGGGAGUGGCAAGCGUUAUCCGGAAUUAUUGGGCGUAAAGCGUCCGCAGGCGGUUUUACAAGUCUGUCGUUAAAACGUGGAGCUCAACUCCAUUUCGGCGAUGGAAACUGUAAGACUAGAGUGUGGUAGGGGCAGAGGGAAUUCCCGGUGUAGCGGUGAAAUGCGUAGAUAUCGGGAAGAACACCAGUGGCGAAGGCGCUCUGCUGGGCCAUAACUGACGCUCAUGGACGAAAGCUAGGGGAGCGAAAGGGAUUAGAUACCCCUGUAGUCCUAGCCGUAAACGAUGAACACUAGGUGUCGGGGGAAUCGACCCCCUCGGUGUCGUAGCCAACGCGUUAAGCGUUCCGCCUGGGGAGUACGCACGCAAGUGUGAAACUCAAAGGAAUUGACGGGGGCCCGCACAAGCGGUGGAGUAUGUGGUUUAAUUCGAUGCAACGCGAAGAACCUUACCAGGGUUUGACAUCCUGCGAAUCCCUUGGAAACUUGGGAGUGCCUUCGGGAGCGCAGUGACAGGUGGUGCAUGGCUGUCGUCAGCUCGUGUCGUGAGAUGUUGGGUUAAGUCCCGCAACGAGCGCAACCCACGUCUUUAGUUGCCAGCAUUUAGUUGGGCACUCUAGAGAGACCGCCGGUGAUAAACCGGAGGAAGGUGUGGAUGACGUCAAGUCAUCAUGCCCCUUACAUCCUGGGCUACACACGUACUACAAUGCUACGGACAAAGGGCAGCAAACUCGCGAGAGCUAGCAAAUCCCAUAAACCGUGGCUCAGUUCAGAUCGUAGGCUGCAACUCGCCUACGUGAAGGAGGAAUCGCUAGUAAUCGCAGGUCAGCAUACUGCGGUGAAUACGUUCCCGGGCCUUGUACACACCGCCCGUCACACCAUGGAAGUUGGCCACGCCCGAAGUCGUUACUCCAACCCUUGUGGAGGAGGAUGCCGAAGGUGGGGCUGAUGACUGGGGUGAAGUCGUAACAAGGUAGCCGUACCGGAAGGUG
RNAcentral lists this ribosomal RNA (1110 nucleotides) under uncultured cyanobacterium. RNAcentral describes it as "bacterial SSU rRNA". It matches the Rfam family "Bacterial small subunit ribosomal RNA", at positions 389 to 1514 of the family's 1533-position model. The record is from RNAcentral. Lineage: Bacteria; Bacillati; Cyanobacteriota.